This 468-nucleotide ribosomal RNA is filed under the name uncultured bacterium. RNAcentral's name for it is "partial 16S ribosomal RNA". It matches the Rfam family "Bacterial small subunit ribosomal RNA", at positions 28 to 507 of the family's 1533-position model. The record is from RNAcentral.
GACGAACGCUGGCGGCGUGCUUAACACAUGCAAGUCGAACGGAAAGGCCCUGCUUUUGUGGGGUGCUCGAGUGGCGAACGGGUGAGUAACACGUGAGUAACCUGCCCUUGACUUUGGGAUAACUUCAGGAAACUGGGGCUAAUACCGGAUAGGAGCUCCUGCUGCAUGGUGGGGGUUGGAAAGUUUCGGCGGUCGGGGAUGGACUCGCGGCUUAUCAGCUUGUUGGUGGGGUAGUGGCUUACCAAGGCUUUGACGGGUAGCCGGCCUGAGAGGGUGACCGGCCACAUUGGGACUGAGAUACGGCCCAGACUCCUACGGGAGGCAGCAGUGGGGAAUAUUGCACAAUGGGCGGAAGCCUGAUGCAACAACGCCGCGUGCGGGAUGACGGCCUUCGGGUUGUAAACCGCUUUCGCCUGUGACGAAGCGUGAGUGACGGUAAUGGGUAAAGAAGCACCGGCUAACUACGUG